UUCUGCGGUGAAGCCGAUUACAGAAUAAGGUGAGAGAAGGUAGUAUCUCACCCCUUACAAGUGACACACAUGUCAAGACAAAUAAGCAGAUUGAGCCCAAGGCAGUGUGGAGCUCGAUAGAGGUGGCACUCCUCAAGUAAUUAAUGGUCGAGAAGGGCGGUACACCUGGCUUCUAAAGUGAGGCCGAUUACAGAAUAAGGUGAGAGAAGGUAGUAUCUCACCCCUUACAAGUGACACACAUGUCAAGACAAAUAAGCAGAUUGAGCCCAAGGCAGUGCUGGAGCUCGAUAGAGGUGGCACUCCUCAAGUAAUUAAUGGUCGAGAAGGGCGGUACACCUGGCUUCUAAAGUGAGGCCGAUUACAGAAUAAGGUGAGAGAAGGUAGUAUCUCACCCCUUACAAGUGACACACAUGUCAAGA
Molecule: long non-coding RNA, 419 nt
Organism: Sebastes umbrosus (honeycomb rockfish)
Lineage: Eukaryota; Metazoa; Chordata; Actinopteri; Perciformes; Sebastidae
Exons: 2
Source: RefSeq, a predicted model, not a curated record